ACGUAUGGGGCAAGCGUUAUCCGGAUUCAUUGGGCGUAAAGAGCGCGUAGGCGGAUUGUUAAGUCAGAUGUGAAAACCGGGGGCUCAACCCGCGGCCUGCAUCUGAAACUGGCAGUCUUGAGUCUGGUAGAGGAGUGUGGAAUUCCCAGUGUAGCGGUGAAAUGCGCAGAUAUUGGGAGGAACACCAGUGGCGAAGGCGGCACUCUGGGCCACGACUGACGCUGAGGCGCGAAAGCUAGGGGAGCAAACAGGAUUAGAUACCCUGGUAGUCCUAGCCGUAAACGAUGGGCACUAGGUGUGGGGGGUCAUCAACUCCCUCCGUGCCGCAGCUAACGCAUUAAGUGCCCCGCCUGGGGAGUACGGCCGCAAGGCUA
RNAcentral lists this ribosomal RNA (374 nucleotides) under uncultured bacterium. Its description in RNAcentral is "bacterial SSU rRNA". It matches the Rfam family "Bacterial small subunit ribosomal RNA", at positions 525 to 896 of the family's 1533-position model. The record is from RNAcentral.